RNAcentral lists this non-coding RNA (26 nucleotides) under Rattus norvegicus (Norway rat). The record is from RNAcentral. Lineage: Eukaryota; Metazoa; Chordata; Mammalia; Rodentia; Muridae.
UGAACAUGGUUUCUACCCCUCCCGUC